UCUCAGAUCCUCAGUCGUCAUUUUCCGAUAACGAAUCUCGCCCGGCGCCGGCUAGUACCUUGGUUCCUCCGCUGACCGUCGACGCCACACAUUCCUCCACCUUCUGCCGUGAACCGUCGUCCACUGCCCAGCCUUCAGAAUCCCAUAAUACAGAUGGUGGUGAUGUGUUCAUGGAAGAAGACGAGAUCCCCAGAUCCACUGAUGUGGAAAUGGAUGACAAAAAAAACAGUACGACAGAACUAAUAAACCCUAGUAGAAAGAGAUCGGUCUACUAUCCACAAGCGACGAUAAUGGCUCCAGCAAGUCCUGGGACAAGUUCUAUAGACGCCAUCAGGGAAAGUUCUUCAAGGAUCGGCAUUACUUGGAGAAGGAUUGGGGACAAUACUUCUCCGAUGAUUCUCUAACUUCCUCAAAAGGCAAGAUCGUUCUAG
Molecule: long non-coding RNA, 431 nt
Organism: Impatiens glandulifera
Lineage: Eukaryota; Viridiplantae; Streptophyta; Magnoliopsida; Ericales; Balsaminaceae
Exons: 3
Source: RefSeq, a predicted model, not a curated record